AAGGAUUUAAGUUAGACUUAAACUACUAGCCUUCAAAGCUGGAAACAGGAACUCCCUAAGCCUUA
Molecule: transfer RNA, 65 nt
Filed under: Chrysomeloidea sp. 2 KM-2017
Lineage: Eukaryota; Metazoa; Arthropoda; Insecta; Coleoptera
Description: tRNA-Trp
Source: RNAcentral